This 65-nucleotide transfer RNA is filed under the name Siphonops hardyi. RNAcentral's name for it is "tRNA-Cys". Lineage: Eukaryota; Metazoa; Chordata; Amphibia; Gymnophiona; Siphonopidae. The record is from RNAcentral.
AGUCCCGUGGUGUAAUCACAUAGGAAUGCAAAUCCUGAGAGGUAGAGUAGAGUCUACCGGGACUU